ACGUACACUCCUACGGGAGGCAGCAGUAGGGAAUCUUCGGCAAUGGGGGCAACCCUGACCGAGCAACGCCGCGUGAGUGAAGAAGGUUUUCGGAUCGUAAAGCUCUGUUGUAAGUCAAGAACGAGUGUGAGAGUGGAAAGUUCACACUGUGACGGUAGCUUACCAGAAAGGGACGGCUAACUACGUGCCAGCAGCCGCGGUAAUACGUAGGUCCCGAGCGUUGUCCGGAUUUAUUGGGCGUAAAGCGAGCGCAGGCGGUUUGAUAAGUCUGAAGUUAAAGGCUGUGGCUCAACCAUAGUUCGCUUUGGAAACUGUCAAACUUGAGUGCAGAAGGGGAGAGUGGAAUUCCAUGUGUAGCGGUGAAAUGCGUAGAUAUAUGGAGGAACACCGGUGGCGAAAGCGGCUCUCUGGUCUGUAACUGACGCUGAGGCUCGAAAGCGUGGGGAGCGAACAGGAUUAGAUACCCUUGUAGUCC
RNAcentral lists this ribosomal RNA (475 nucleotides) under uncultured organism. Its description in RNAcentral is "partial 16S ribosomal RNA". It matches the Rfam family "Bacterial small subunit ribosomal RNA", at positions 329 to 796 of the family's 1533-position model. The record is from RNAcentral.